Long non-coding RNA from Globicephala melas (long-finned pilot whale), 3136 nucleotides. RefSeq lists it as uncharacterized. The record is from RefSeq and is a predicted model, not a curated record. NCBI's taxonomy places the organism in Eukaryota, Metazoa, Chordata, Mammalia, Artiodactyla, Delphinidae.
UUUGCGUGGCCCACUUUGUCACUGAACAGGGCUGACCUGUGUGACUACUAGAACACUGCUGAAGUGAUUGUGUGUGACUGAACACUGAGGCUGGGUCAUAAAAGCACUGUAGCUUCUGCCUUGAUCUCUUGGAUUGCAGGCCCUGGGAAGGCAGCCACCAUGCUGUGAGGACGUUCAGGCAGCCCUGUGGGGAGGCCCAUGUGCUAAGGAACUGAGGACUCCCACCAGCAGCAGGCAGCGUCAACUUGCCAGCCAUGUGAGUGGGCUGCUUGGAAGUGGACCUUCCAGCCCCAGCCAUGCCUUUAGAAGACUGUAGCCCUGGCUGACAUCUGCCUGCAGUCCUAUGAGAGACCUCUAGACAGGACUGUCCAGCCAAGCUGCUUCUGAAUUCCUGACCACAGAGCCUGUGAGAGGUGAUAAAUAAUUACUGCUGUUUUAACCCAUGAAGCUUCGGGCUAAUUUGUUAUGCGCCACUAGAUAACAAAGACAGCUGGUUAUUGUGGUAGGCAGCUUCCAAGACGGCUGCCAACGAUCCCAGCCUCCCGGUCAUUCAUGCCAUCAUGUAAUGCCCUCUGCUUUAGUGUGGACUGGACAUGGUGACUUGCUUCUAAUGAAAGAAUAAGGCACAUCUGAUGGGGUGUCACUUGGAGAUUACGUUACAAAAGUCUCUGGCUUCCAUUAUGGGUGACACUUGCUCUCUUGCUGGUUCUGAGGGAAGCCAGCUGCCAUGUUGUGAGCUGUCCUAUGGAGGGGUCCACAUAGUCAAGAACCGAGAGAUGUCUCCAGCCAACAGCCAGUGAGGAACCGAGGCCACGAAUCCAACACCUUGUGAUAAAUGGGACCUUGGCAGCAGCCAUGUCGGUGAGCUGAAAGUUGAACCCUGAAAUGACUGCAUCCCCAGCAGACGCCUCGGUUCCAGCCCUGUGAGAGGCCCUGAACAAGAGGACUCAGACAAGCUGCCCCUGGGAUCCAAGUGCACAGAAACCAUGAGAUCUAGGAGGACUUGGGGAGGAUGCCGGCUCUUCAAAGACGAGGCGGUCUCAGCUGUGUAAUCACCACCACUUUGCUUGGGGCCCUCCCCGAGGAACAUACUCCGGGAUCCAUCACCCCCUUGCUCCGGAACUCCAGGGUUUCAAAAAAGCAGAGGGGAGACAAUUCGAUCCUAGGCCCAGCCAUUUCGGAGUCCACAGCUGGAAAGGAUCUGAGGCUUCCGCUGUUUACCUGAUUCCACUCUCUGGAGCCCCGCUCUGCCAGGAGACAGCACCCCCUUGUCUUUCUCCGUCGUGCCCACCCUCUCCUGUCCUGCGCACCCCUGGACCACCUCCCUCACCCCCAGCUGACUUCCUUCUCCAGCGCGGAUUCUCAGACCCCCCCCCCCGCCCACCGUCUCUGUGUCCCCGUGGGAGGUGGAUAGAAGUGGUGGGUGGGAUUAGGCUUCAGAAUUUGGGGCCCGUGUUAGCUGCAGUAAAGCCCUGUGUGCUGGGUGGCUUAAGACAACAGCAAUCCAGUCUCUUAGUUUCUUAAUUCUCCCUCUGCUUUUCAGAUCCAAGUUGUUUUCUUCCUGCUGUUGAAAAAGUAGAAAUAACUAGAAGUCUCUUGACUUGGCGGUUCAUGCUGGAGCCCAGUGAGAGAGUUGUGUUGAGUCCUAGAGGCUAGGAUUCAGCGGGGCUGUGCUCCCUCAAGACUCUGGGUGAAUUGCCUUUCUCCCCUUCGAAGCCCCAACCCACUACUCCCAACAUCCUCUGCUGUCUUUAGCUGAAGGUGACAUUUAAAGUGAGGACUUUGGCCAUUUGGAUGAAGCUCUUGGUGCUGUGCUUUAGAACAGACGAAAUGGCCUCCGCCCACACAGAAAUGAGCCAAUGCCCAGGAAAGGACACAGGGCGGCUUGUGAACUUCUGGAACACUCUGCUUCUGGCCGCAUCUGACUCAGCCAGUGACCUCGGAAACAGGCUCAGCCUCCCAGGAAUUCCGUCCUGCGUCUCCUCCAAAUACGCAUGCAUGCACCAGGCCCAGAGUCUGGGGGAUGCAGGAAGGGAGAGGCCCUCCCCACCUCAUGGGCCACCCAUCUUCUCACGGCAUUAACUCCGAAGACUGGUCCUGGCCACAUGAUGUGACGCAUUAAGCACUGCACUGCUCCCACAGCCUCCCAGACACGCGGGGAAAGGAGGUGCCCACUGCAACGUGGAGAGAGUCAGAGCAUGUCUGAUACCCGGCACAUUCCACCCCCUCCCCCAGCAGGUAUUCAACACCACUUGCCUUCACUGACAGCCUGGGGGCGCUGCGCCCUUGCUGCCUCUUGCUCUUAGGGGAAGUGGUUAAACUCCCCUCUCACUGGACCAAGGGCCAGGCCCCACCCCAGGAAAUAAGUUUUUCCCAUUAAAAGUACUCAUUUCACUUGAUGUAUGCAGACAGGGCUCCAGAAGCCCGGAGUAUGAGUGUGUGAGUGCAUUUGUGUGUGUGUGUGUGUGUGUGUGUCGGUGGAGAAUUUAAGCGCUGGAAACAGUGGCAAAUAAGGAGAUGCAAGCGAUGUGAAAAUAGUCAAGAUUUCUCAGUCGCCAGAAGGAGGGAGGGUGAAAUUGUAAAACCCCAUCAGAAGCUUUGACAACAGCCCGUCCACCUCCCGGUGGGUCACUCGUGCCUUCACUGCUCUUUGGGCCUAUCUUGCACGUCCCGCCUCCAAGUCUUGGCUCACGGAAGCUCACGGAGGCCAGGGAGCGCUCUCACCAUCGCAGUACGCGGGCACCCCCGCUGACCCGGGGCUGAGUGAGUGUGUCUCUGUCAACAGUGUUGUCUGUAUCAGAUCUGCCCCUCACCUGCCCUCGACCCAUAUACAUUCUGGAACAUUCUGGCUGGGAGAUUUAGCCAAACCCUGGAAUUACUCCUUGCACUUUGCAAGAGUGUUCCUGGCUGGCACUGGACACCAGGAAUUUGCAGAAAUGUAUCAUCACUUUUGCCAACUGCAAAAUCUUCUGGGUCAAAGGUCAAAUGUCCCUGAAGCAGGAAAGGCAGGAAGAAAAUUCAGCCAAAGUCUAGGCGCCUUUAAGAAAGGAGGCCUGGGCUUCCCUGGUGGCGCAGUGGUUGAGAGCCCGCCUGCUGAUGCAGGACACACGGGUUCGUGCCCUGGUCCGGGAAGAUC